UGACGUCGGUUCCUCUUCCUGUCUGCAGUGAAUCAGGAGGAUUUUACGACGUCGCAGAGAAACUCGGGUCUUUUUCACCCAGGAAGCUUCCGGCUGCAGCCGAAACUAAAUCAGCUUCCUGGUUUUGCGGGACCCAAUAAAA
This 142-nucleotide small nucleolar RNA is filed under the name Acanthochromis polyacanthus (spiny chromis). Its description in RNAcentral is "Small nucleolar RNA SNORA79 (ENSAPOG00000020459.1)". It matches the Rfam family "Small nucleolar RNA SNORA79". Rfam says of the family: ACA65 (SNORA79) is a member of the H/ACA class of snoRNAs that guide the sites of modification of uridines to pseudouridines. This snoRNA was identified by computational screening and its expression in mouse experimentally verified by Northern blot and primer extension analysis. The record is from Rfam by way of RNAcentral. Lineage: Eukaryota; Metazoa; Chordata; Actinopteri; Pomacentridae.